UACGUAGGUGACAAGCGUUAUCCGGAAUUACUGGGCGUAAAGCGCACGCAGGCGGCGCGGUAAGUCUGAUGUGAAAUCUCCCGGCUUAACUGGGAGGGGUCAUUGGAAACUGCCGAGCUUGAGGCGAUGAGAGGGGUGUAGAAUUCCCGGUGUAGUGGUGGAAUGCGUAGAUAUCGGGAGGAAUACCAGUGGCGAAAGCGGCGCCCUGGCAUUAGCCUGACGCUCAUGUGCGAAGGCGUGGGGAGCGAACGGG
This 253-nucleotide ribosomal RNA is filed under the name uncultured bacterium. RNAcentral describes it as "partial 16S ribosomal RNA". It matches the Rfam family "Bacterial small subunit ribosomal RNA", at positions 524 to 776 of the family's 1533-position model. The record is from RNAcentral.